This 352-nucleotide unclassified non-coding RNA is filed under the name soil metagenome. Its description in RNAcentral is "partial contains 5.8S ribosomal RNA, internal transcribed spacer 2, and large subunit ribosomal RNA". The stretch from base 1 to 120 matches the Rfam family "5.8S ribosomal RNA", at positions 35 to 154 of the family's 154-position model. The record is from RNAcentral.
GAUGAAGAACGUAGCGAAAUGCGAUAAGUAAUGUGAAUUGCAGAAUUCAGUGAAUCAUCGAAUCUUUGAACGCACAUUGCGCCCGCCAGUAUUCUGGCGGGCAUGCCUGUUCGAGCGUCAUUACAACCCUCAGGCCCCCGGGCCUGGCGUUGGGGAUCGGCGGAGCCCCCCGUGGGCACACGCCGUCCACCAAAUACAGUGGCGGUCCCGCCGCAGCUUCCAUCGCGUAGUAGCUAACACCUCGCGACUGGAGAGCGGCGCGGCCACGCCGUAAAACACCCAACUCUUCUGAAGUUGACCUCGAAUCAGGUAGGAAUACCCGCUGAACUUAAGCAUAUCAAUAAGCGGAGGA